ACGCAUCAGUGGAUGUGGUCUCGGUGGUGCUGCCGGGCGGAUGACGCCGCCUGGCACUAACAGGCUGCGCCACUGAUGACGCGGAUGAGGCAGGCCCCUGGGACCUCGCAGGUGCAACUGCCAAGUGGUCCAUUAGUGCCGGCGCAGUGGCAGCAGAUGCUGGAGCAGUGGCAGCAGAUGUCAGCUGAGUCGGGGGCGCCGUACUCUGCGUGGUCGUCACCGCCCUACGACGUGUAAUCAGGUUUGACAUCUGCACAUUUUCAUUAAUACACAUACAAAUUAAUAAAAUAUACGAAUAUUUGAAAACACAUACAAUUUCAUUCACAUUAUUGACCUAGGGUUUGCGAGCUCGGAGUAUCCGGGACUCCGAUCCACGAUCCGUCGAAUCGUAGACGAUCCAAGAAAUACAAGGUACAACAUACGUGAGUUUGAGUUCGAUCCAACGGUCCGAACAUAACAACCCCGGAAAUCGCACAAUAGGCAAAAUCCAUUCGAGGCACAAACGGUAACCAAAUUCUAAUCCGAAAACACCUAUGCGCUCGUGACAACUACAGGAAUGCACUAGGACCGAAAUCGGGUUGCUACAGGAACCCACGCACCGCCCCACGCGCCG
This 613-nucleotide long non-coding RNA is filed under the name Prunus persica (peach). Its description in RNAcentral is "long non-coding RNA (PPER_LNC002446)". Lineage: Eukaryota; Viridiplantae; Streptophyta; Magnoliopsida; Rosales; Rosaceae. The record is from RNAcentral.